Molecule: ribosomal RNA, 253 nt
Filed under: uncultured bacterium
Lineage: Bacteria
Description: partial 16S ribosomal RNA
Rfam family: Bacterial small subunit ribosomal RNA
Source: RNAcentral
UACGUAGGGGGCAAGCGUUGUCCGGAUUUACUGGGCGUAAAGAGCGCGCAGGCGGUUGAUUAAGUCGAAUGUGAAAGCCCCCGGCUCAACUGGGGAGGGUCAUUCGAUACUGAUCGACUUGAAGGCAGGAGAGAGAAGUGGAAUUCCCGGUGUAGUGGUGAAAUGCGUAGAUAUCGGGAGGAACACCAGUGGCGAAGGCGGCCCCCUGGGCCGUACCUGACGCUGAGGCGCGAAGGCUAGGGGAGCGAACGGG